Long non-coding RNA from Dendroctonus ponderosae (mountain pine beetle), 214 nucleotides. RefSeq lists it as uncharacterized. The transcript has 3 exons. Lineage: Eukaryota; Metazoa; Arthropoda; Insecta; Coleoptera; Curculionidae. The record is from RefSeq and is a predicted model, not a curated record.
AAAAAUCUUCUGAAUGUGCGAUUACACAGAGCCAGUUAAGAUUAACGAAAUUAAAUCCCUGCUCAUUAAAGCGGCAAAAUAGGGAAAAGGGUUGACGAAUUGAAUAAGAUAAAAUAUCCGAGAAGAGGCACAAUCUCCCUGAAAGAGAAGCGUUGAGGAAGUAUGGGGAAGUGUUUGAAGCAGUAAUGGAUAGAAUGGAUAAGGCAGAUGAAAG